GUCUACUCAGGGAAGGAUUACCCAAGUGAGAGGAAGUUGAUGUCGACUUGGCCAGGGCACGUUAUUUGACUUUAUUCAUGUAUAAAUACGCUGACGAGUAGGAAUGCAGCAACAUAUUAAUUCGCUAUCGCGAGUUGUCAACUUGAAUCACAACAGCGAGUACGCCACGGUUACUUGUACCCAAAAAUAACCAUCAUAAAACAAUCUGCCUGCAACAGAGAAAAUUUACUGUAUUUAUUUGUAAACAUUAAUCUCAAAGAUGUGUCAGGUUAUAAAACAGACUACAAUGCUAUUCAUGGUUGUGCUGUUGUUAAUGAGCCUAUUAGCAAACACCGAAUCAGCGCCAGCAUCUCGACGUAACAAAAACCGAUGGAAACUAUACCGCAAGUUAAACCAACCGUCUACUGGCAAUUUUCGUGGAUCAUCAUGUGCCACCGAUAAAAGCCGUCGAGCGUGCUCAGUUAACCCGAGCAGUUGGGUGUCUGGAUUGGCCGAAUGUUGUCCCGGAUACAAGUGCGUAGUUACCGCGAUAUCAGUCCCAGGUUUAACUCAUUUCAGGCCACAAUGCAGGCCCAUAUGAACAGCUCCCAGCAGGGCAGACCCAGAAAAAACAUAUUUCACGGCGGGGAUGUCUGGACAUCCAAACUAUUAAAUUUGGCCUGAGUGAAAGUGUAAACGAUGGCAUCCCGUAUCUACUUGAUUAGCCCGAUCAUGAAUUCACAAUUGGAUGAUAUUAUAGAAUCUGAUUUACAAAUAUUUUUGUAUUUUCGAUGCCCGAUUAUCCAAAAAUAGAUAAAUUCCGAAGCAGCAAUGUGAACAAAGCAUAUAUUAUGUUAGUUAAGACUCAGACAAGACGGCUUCACACCAAGGAGGUAGUAAAAUACAUCCUUCCUCACAUCAAGUUGUUCCUGCUACAACAGAAAUUCGCUUAAAUUUGAAGAGGUUUGUAUCAUGAGGUACAUUCUUAUACCAUAGUUAACAAACCACCCGACAGGGGAAUAUGCGGAGGCUUUCAAGACAUUUCGAGGAAAAAAACUAUAAAAAUAUAUUUGUGUAUGCUCCUAUAUGUACAAAAUGUAGACAUAUGAACUCAUUUAAAUAAUUCAUUUAGAUCUAUAUAUCUAAGUAGGAAAUUAGGUUAAUACACAGGUUGAUAAGAGGCUAUUUGAAACACGAACAAUUAUUUAAUUAUUAUAUAAAUUUGUAUCCGUUAUAAGCCGAUGUUGUUCGUCCAUUGACAAGGCCAAGCAUAGUUAUUAUUUCUCUAAUUGCUCCAUGAUGCAAGUUUAUUGGAUUGUGUGUUAUUAAAUGUGUUUUUUUGUAUAACUAUUAAGGAAAGAUUAUUUGUGAAAACGGUAAUUACAACUCUGAAACUGAAUAGGAUUUACACCAACGUAAGUUUGUAAUCGAAAUAGUGUUAUAGAAAUGUAUAUAGAUAUAUAGGCACAGGUGUAUUUGAACAUAUGAAAGUAAAGCUUUGUUCGGUUCCGUCUGUCGUUCUGGCUCCGAUUGCAUUUGCGUUUACAGUGCAUUUGAAGUGCGUGCACGUGCGUUUUUAAAAUCCUUUUUGCAUGGAUUCACACCACACCGCACGGCGGGCUGAAGUCAGAACGGAUAACGGAACAAGUGCAUGCAUUUACGGAGACGCAACGCAACUACAGCACUAAUGAAAUCACUCUCGUUUAAGACAGUUAUAUCGAUUAAAACGUACCACCGCAAAGCAAACGGAGCUGCAAUCGCAACCGGACGGAUGGAUUCCUAGCUUUAAGUCGUGUACAACAUAAAUGGCAAUCUGGUUUUCCAUUAACAUAUUCAACAUCAUAUUGAUAUUAAACUAAACAGCCUGACAAAUCAAAUAAAUUCUGUAAUUGGCUACCUCAUUUAUAUUUAGAUGCGCACGCUGGUCGCUUGGAAGUAAGCGCCUAAAUGUUGUUACAUGAAUUAAAUUAUAAACCGCUUGAUCAUCACGAAAUUAAAUGAUUCGAAUGAUACCUUUAAAAGACAAACAUUAGCACGACUUAGGUAGCAGCUGGAACUGCGCGCAUUCAUCGUGGCAAUGAUGGAUAUAAAUUGGCCUACAGUUACGUGAUAUGUUAUAAAAUAUGUAUAUUAAACUGUGGUUAUAUGCAGAAGUUUAAUUUAAUCGAAGUUAGUAGGGUAAAUAUUAUUCCUGUACAUUACAUUUGAAAAGAGUUUUUAAAUUAAAUUAUUCAGUGAAAUUA
RNAcentral lists this long non-coding RNA (2222 nucleotides) under Anneissia japonica. RNAcentral's name for it is "uncharacterized LOC117102522". The record is from RNAcentral. Lineage: Eukaryota; Metazoa; Echinodermata; Crinoidea; Comatulida; Comatulidae.